AUACGGAAGGUCCGGGCGUUAUCCGGAUUUAUUGGGCUUAAAGGGUGCGUAGGCGGUUUGCUAAGCGGGAGGUGAAAUGCCGGCGCUCAACGUCGGAAGUGCCUCCCGAACUGGUGGACUUGAAUGACUCUGCCGUGGGAGGAAUGUGUAGUGUAGCGGUGAAAUGCUUAGAGAUUACACAGAACACCGAUUGCGAAGGCAUCUCACGAAGGGUUGAUUGACGCUGAGGCACGAAAGCGUGGGGAUCAAACAGGAUUAGAUACCCUGGUAGUCCACGCAGUAAACGAUGAUGGCUAACCGCUGGGCUUAUCAGUUCAGUGGCCAAGCGAAAGCGAUAAGCCAUCCACCUGGGGAGUACGACCGCAAGGUUGAAACUCAAAUGAAUUGACGGGG
This 393-nucleotide ribosomal RNA is filed under the name uncultured bacterium. RNAcentral describes it as "partial 16S ribosomal RNA". It matches the Rfam family "Bacterial small subunit ribosomal RNA", at positions 523 to 918 of the family's 1533-position model. The record is from RNAcentral.